RNAcentral lists this ribosomal RNA (736 nucleotides) under Metabacillus indicus. RNAcentral describes it as "bacterial SSU rRNA". It matches the Rfam family "Bacterial small subunit ribosomal RNA", at positions 65 to 796 of the family's 1533-position model. Lineage: Bacteria; Bacillati; Bacillota; Bacilli; Caryophanales; Bacillaceae. The record is from RNAcentral.
AGCGGAUCUCUUCGGAGGUCAGCGGCGGACGGGUGAGUAACACGUGGGCAACCUGCCUGUAAGACUGGGAUAACUCCGGGAAACCGGAGCUAAUACCGGAUACUAUGUCAAACCGCAUGGUUUGACAUUCAAAGACGGUUUCGGCUGUCACUUACAGAUGGGCCCGCGGCGCAUUAGCUAGUUGGUGAGGUAAUGGCUCACCAAGGCGACGAUGCGUAGCCGACCUGAGAGGGUGAUCGGCCACACUGGGACUGAGACACGGCCCAGACUCCUACGGGAGGCAGCAGUAGGGAAUCUUCCGCAAUGGACGAAAGUCUGACGGAGCAACGCCGCGUGAGUGAUGAAGGUUUUCGGAUCGUAAAACUCUGUUGUCAGGGAAGAACAAGUGCCGGAGUAACUGCCGGCGCCUUGACGGUACCUGACCAGAAAGCCACGGCUAACUACGUGCCAGCAGCCGCGGUAAUACGUAGGUGGCAAGCGUUGUCCGGAAUUAUUGGGCGUAAAGCGCGCGCAGGCGGUUUCUUAAGUCUGAUGUGAAAGCCCCCGGCUCAACCGGGGAGGGUCAUUGGAAACUGGGAAACUUGAGUGCAGAAGAGGAGAGUGGAAUUCCACGUGUAGCGGUGAAAUGCGUAGAGAUGUGGAGGAACACCAGUGGCGAAGGCGACUCUCUGGUCUGUAACUGACGCUGAGGCGCGAAAGCGUGGGGAGCGAACAGGAUUAGAUACCCUGGUAGUCC